AGAGUUUGAUCCUGGCUCAGAUUGAACGCUGGCGGCAGGCCUAACACAUGCAAGUCGAACGGUAACAGGAAGAAGCUUGCUUCUUUGCUGACGAGUGGCGGACGGGUGAGUAAUGUCUGGGAAACUGCCUGAUGGAGGGGGAUAACUACUGGAAACGGUAGCUAAUACCGCAUAACGUCGCAAGACCAAAGAGGGGGACCUUCGGGCCUCUUGCCAUCGGAUGUGCCCAGAUGGGAUUAGCUAGUAGGUGGGGUAACGGCUCACCUAGGCGACGAUCCCUAGCCGGUCUGAGAGGAUGACCAGCCACACUGGAACUGAGACACGGUCCAGACUCCUACGGGAGGCAGCAGAAGGGCGAAUU
This 361-nucleotide ribosomal RNA is filed under the name uncultured Escherichia sp. Its description in RNAcentral is "bacterial SSU rRNA". It matches the Rfam family "Bacterial small subunit ribosomal RNA", at positions 8 to 365 of the family's 1533-position model. Lineage: Bacteria; Pseudomonadati; Pseudomonadota; Gammaproteobacteria; Enterobacterales; Enterobacteriaceae. The record is from RNAcentral.